Molecule: long non-coding RNA, 1436 nt
Organism: Harmonia axyridis
Lineage: Eukaryota; Metazoa; Arthropoda; Insecta; Coleoptera; Coccinellidae
Exons: 4
Source: RefSeq, a predicted model, not a curated record
ACCGUACGCCAAAAUACGGUAAUUUCGUAAUUUCAAUUGCGAUUUUUUUUUUGAGCUCAUUGUAAUAGUGACUUUUGAAAUUGUAAUGUAUCGAUAAAAAUUGACAUAUUCUGGGGAAAACUCCAAAAAUAUACAAAUGAAAUGGGUGUAUUUGAAUUCCAGAAAUUGUCACAGUUCGUACUAAAUAUAUUAUCCCUUCCACACUCAAAUGCUGAAUGCGAAAGAGUCUUCAGUAAAAUAAACUUGGUUAAAACAAAAUCAAGAAAUAAGUUAAUAACUAAUACAAUCAAUGGUUGUUUAUUAACGUCUCAGUGUGUGAAAAAAGAUGGUAACUGCGUAGAUUUUACACCUACUCAGAAUAUUAUCGAAGUUGAUGAAGAUGAAUUUGUCAUAGACGGUUGAAAUAUAAAUUUUUGAAAAGAGGACACAUGAAGACAUGAAUGCAAAUCAUAUUUAUGUUACAAUGGAAUCAGAAGGUUUUACAGAAGCAAGUAGCAGUUCGGCCACCCCCAAACGUAGUGGUAGUAAGCUGAGCCCCUUAACCAUUAUUUCAGAAAUGGCUCAGUUAUUAGAAAUGUUUUUUGAAAGAUGCCAGCUUUUCUACUCAUGUCUCUGUGUAGAAAUUAGAAAACGGUAUGAUUUCGACAAUUUUAUUUUGCCAAAAUUGCAGAUAUUUGUGCCUAAAAAUGCAAUUUCUUCAGAUAUACACCAGCAGUUCCCAUCAUUAGCUCAUUUGCUCCAAAAUAUGACACGUUUUUAUGACAGUAGUGAAGGUCAACUAAUCGAUGAACAGUGGAGGUUGCUGCCAGAAUACCAUUUUACUGCUGAUGAAAAGCUGAUGAAAAAGAAUAGACAUCAACGAGGACAUUGACAUAUUCUGGGGAAAACUCCAAAAAUAUACAAAUGAAAUGGGUGUAUUUGAAUUCCAGAAAUUGUCACAGUUCGUACUGAAUAUAUUAUCCCUUCCGCACUCAAAUGCUGAAUGCGAAAAAGAGUCUCUAGUAAAAUAAACUUGGUUAAAACAAAAUCAAGAAAUAAGUUAAUAACUAAUACAAUCAAUGGUUGUUUAUUAACGUCUCAGUGUGUGAAAAAAGAUGGUAACUGCGUAGAUUUUACACCUACUCAGAAUAUGUAUGCAAGAAUGAACAAAAUUGAUAUGUAUUCUAAUUCUUCCAGUUCUAGUAUCGAAGUUGAUGAAGAUGAAUUUGUCAUAGACGGUUGAAAUAUAAAUUUUUGAAAAGAGGACACAUGAAUGCAAAUCAUAUUUAUGUUACAAUGGAAUCAGAAGGUUUUACAGAAGCAAGUAGCAGUUCGGCCACCCCCAAACGUAGUGGUAGUAAGCUGAGCCCCUUAACCAACCAGAGAAUUGAAAGAAUGAAGGCUAAAAUCAAUUCUUUGAAGUGCAAAAUAUUUAGGCGUAAAGUUCCCCACUGUUU